UUUUGUGAUUUUUUUUUGUGUUUUUUCAGCCAAGGGAUGCUGUUUUCGACGAUGGGUGGGUUGGUGGUUUCGAUUGAACUCGUCGAUUUCAGUAAAUUUUCAACAGAGAGAGGGUUUAUCAGGCGAAUUUCACCGUGACGGUGACCGACAGCAGCAGUAAUGGUGUUUUACCAGAGAGCAUUAGCCGAAACUGAUCACAAGGGUUGAAUUUUAGUCAGUGGUUCGCUGAUUUUGCAGAUCCGGUGAGGGACAGGCUUGAUCAUCGUUUUUAUGAAUUUUCCGGUGAUGUGGUAGCAGCGGGUCAGUAUAUUUCGAUGAGAUUUUUAUAAAAUAUAAUUUUUACAAUAUAGAUAUGUAUUUUUAUUUGUAUUUGUAUUUGUAUUUAUAUUUAUAUUUGGUACUGAUAAGAUUUGUAUUUGUUACAACGUAAAUAUAUAUUUGCAUUUGGUAUUGUAAGAUUUGUAUUUGUUACAGUAUAGAUAUGUAUUUUUUAUUUGUAAUCUUAUAUUUUAUGGAUAAUAUGUUCAUAUAUGUAUUUUUGUCUUUAUAAUGUGAAGAUAUGUAUCUGUUAAAUUUAAGAUAUGUAUUUAUUUUUUAG
Molecule: long non-coding RNA, 598 nt
Filed under: Capsicum annuum
Lineage: Eukaryota; Viridiplantae; Streptophyta; Magnoliopsida; Solanales; Solanaceae
Description: long non-coding RNA (CANN_LNC022559)
Source: RNAcentral